Small nuclear RNA from Molossus molossus (Pallas's mastiff bat), 106 nucleotides. The record is from RefSeq and is a predicted model, not a curated record. Lineage: Eukaryota; Metazoa; Chordata; Mammalia; Chiroptera; Molossidae.
GUCCUUGCCUAGUUAGCACAUAUACUACAGUUGAAAUGAUGCAGAAAAGAUACUAUAGCCCCCAUGCAAGGAUGACAUACAAAUUCGUAAUGUGUUUUAAAUUUUU